CGGGUCGGACGAUCCGUCGCUCACCGGCGAAUGAACGGUGUGAGGAAAGUCCGGGCAACACAGAGCGCCAUACUCCCUAACGGAGAGCUGUCGGCAACGGCAGAGUAGCGUGACAGAAAAUAACCGCGGAGCAGUCGGCUUUCGCAAGGGUGAAAAGGUGGGGUAAGAGCCCACCGGGCGGCAUGGCGACAUGCCGCGCCGCACGCCUUAUGGGUUGCAAGGUCAAGUAUACCGGCAUUUAAGGAUUGCUCGUCCAUUGCCGAGGGGUAGACCGCUAAAGCCAUGGCGGCAACGUCUGGCUCAGAUAAAUGACGGAUGUCGGCGCAAAACUCCGCGUUCGCGUGGAAAGUAGCGCCGAUACAUAACCCGGCUUAUAGUCCGGCCCGGAUU
RNAcentral lists this RNase P RNA (390 nucleotides) under Muribaculaceae bacterium. RNAcentral describes it as "RNase P RNA component class A". It matches the Rfam family "Bacterial RNase P class A". Rfam says of the family: Ribonuclease P (RNase P) is a ubiquitous endoribonuclease, found in archaea, bacteria and eukarya as well as chloroplasts and mitochondria. Its best characterised activity is the generation of mature 5'-ends of tRNAs by cleaving the 5'-leader elements of precursor-tRNAs. Lineage: Bacteria; Pseudomonadati; Bacteroidota; Bacteroidia; Bacteroidales; Muribaculaceae. The record is from RNAcentral.